RNAcentral lists this ribosomal RNA (1705 nucleotides) under Telatrygon zugei (pale-edged stingray). RNAcentral describes it as "16S ribosomal RNA". It matches the Rfam family "Bacterial large subunit ribosomal RNA". The record is from RNAcentral. Lineage: Eukaryota; Metazoa; Chordata; Chondrichthyes; Myliobatiformes; Dasyatidae.
ACCAUAAAGCUAGCCAAAACAAAUCUUAUUCACCCUCCAUUAUUAAUUUGAUAUUUUAUAUUACAUUAAUUAAUUUAAAACAUUUUAUCCUUCUCAGUAUAGGCGAUAGAACAGAACCUUUGAGCUAUACAAAUAGUACCGCAAGGGAAAGCUGAAAAAGAAAUGAAACAAAUCAUUAAAGUACAAAAAAGCAGAGACAAACCCUCGUACCUUUUGCAUCAUGAUUUAGCAAGAACAAUUAGACAAAAAGCUUUUUAGUCUAACUUCCCGAAACCAAACGAGCUACUUCGGAGCAGCAUAUUAGAGCCAACCCACCUCUGUGGCAAAAGAGGGGGAAGACUCCCAAGUAGCGGUGAUAAGCCUACCGAGUUUGGUGAUAGCUGGUUGUCCAAGAAAAGAACUUAAAUUCUGCAUUAAUUUAUUCAACUUGUUAAUUAAAAGACUUUUUUAACAAAACCAAUUGUAAUAAUUAAUAGUUAUUCAAAAAAGGUACAGCUUUUUUGAAUUAAGAAACAACUUUAUUAGGUGGGUAAUGAUUAUAAUUUCUAAAGGAUUCUCCUCAGUGGGCCCGGAAGCAGCCACCUGUAAAGAAAGCGUUAUAGCUCAAGUCCAUAUUAACCAACAAAUCCCAAUAAUAAAUUCACAACCCCCUAAAAACCUAUUGGACUAUUUUAUCAAACUAACAUAAAAGAAAUUAUGCUAAAAUGAGUAAUAAGGGACUAACUCCCUCCCAACACACCAGUGUAAGUCAGAAAGAAUUAAAUCACUGACAAUUAACCGAUGCCAAACUGAGGUACUUAUGAUAUUAACAUAUAUAACAAGAAAAACCCAUUCAAAACAUCGUUAACCCCACACAGGAGUGUUCUUAGGAAAGAUUAAAAGAGAAUAAAGGAACUCGGCAAACACAAACUCCGCCUGUUUACCAAAAACAUCGCCUCUUGCCUAUUACAUGUAUAAGAGGUCCCGCCUGCCCUGUGAUUUUUUUAACGGCCGCGGUAUCUUGACCGUGCGAAGGUAGCGUAAUCACUUGUUUUUUAAUUGAAGGCCCGUAUGAAAGGCAUAACGAGAGUUUAUCUGUCUUUAUUUUCUAAUCAAUGAAAUUGAUCUUCUCGUGCAGAAGCGAGAAUAAAAACAUAAGACGAGAAGACCCUAUGGAGCUUAAAACACCUAAGUUAUUUUUAAAUAAUAAUAAAUUCCUACCUACGGGCACAAAAAUACAUAAAAUAAUCUUCUAACUUAACUUGUUUUUGGUUGGGGCGACCAAGGGGAAAAACAAAACCCCCUUAUCGAACGGGUGAAAAAUCACUCAAAAUUAGAAUUACAAUUCUAAUUAAUAGAAAAUCUAACGAACAAUGACCCAGGAGACAAUAUCCUGAUCAAUGAACCAAGUUACCCUAGGGAUAACAGCGCAAUCCUUUCUUAGAGCCCCCAUCACCGAAAGGGUUUACGACCUCGAUGUUGGAUCAGGACAUCCUAAUGGUGUAGCAGCUAUUAAGGGUUCGUUUGUUCAACGAUUAAUAGUCCUAUGUGAUCUGAGUUCAGACCGGAGCAAUCCAGGUCAGUUUCUAUCUAUGACGGCAUUCUUCCCAGUACGAAAGGACCGGAAAAAUGAAGCCUAUGCCUUUAGGUACGCUUCAAUCCAACCUGCUGAAAUCAACUCAAGCAGAUAAAGGCUGCCAUCCUUAAGCCAAAGAUUAUGGUUUUU